Molecule: long non-coding RNA, 1181 nt
Organism: Jaculus jaculus (lesser Egyptian jerboa)
Lineage: Eukaryota; Metazoa; Chordata; Mammalia; Rodentia; Dipodidae
Exons: 3
Source: RefSeq, a predicted model, not a curated record
CCUACACUUCUACCUCUCCCUCCAGAGUGCUGGGAUUAAAGGAAAGAAAGAGGAAAGCAGAUCCCCUCCCCCAACCCUCCACAGCCUGUAAAUUUCUGGCCUUCAGCACAGUGGAGGCUGGGACAAUGCCCUCAGGGAAAAGACAAAAGAUAGAGCCAGAUUCUGAUUCCCUUCACAGCUCUGAGGACAUUUCUCCUUCUACAGAGGCUGCCUACAAAAAUGACAUAUUAAGUCCUUGUUGCUGAACACACCACGUACUAUACUGGCAGGACCUAAAGAAGCCAAGUUGGAGCUGAACUAGAAGCUUCCACCCUGCUGGUUAAUCUCCUCAUGUCAGAACGUGCUACACAAGCUGCUGGGGGAGAAGAGUAAUGAGCAGUCCUACCCAGCUGUGGACCACGUGCACUUCACCACAACCUGCAGGGCACGGUAGGGUCACUGGUGCAAAGUCACAGAGUUAUGAAAGUCACUGCUUUAUUCUCUGAUUGGACCUGAGGCCUGUUCUAUAGGUGAGAAAUAAUGUCUGUUACUAUAAAUCUGGCCCAAAGUCUGUGGCAAGGUACUUGGGCCCUAGGAGGGAACCCAUUCCUAUGGUUAUGUUAAUCAAAACAGCAUGUCAAACUACCUUGUUAGUAUCUACAUUGUUCUCAUAGAUUGUUACUGUUUGCAGCCUUUAUGCCAUGGGUAGAAGUGAAUACAGAUAUGCACAAAUGGCACAGUUAACAGGAAUAAGUGACUAGUUGGUGCUUAGCCCUAAACACAAUACCUAAAAUACACCCUACAAGAACUAGGGAAACUCAGAGAAGUGGGGACAGAAAGAAUGAAAAGAGGAUAGGUAGCAUGACUGCAGAAUGCUGUCUUCUUGAUAUGUCAAGUCUACUGUACUCAUUGAACUCAGAGCAGAGGGGCUUUCCUGUACAUGAUGGGACCUAUAAAUAACUCCUCACAGAUGAAGGUGGAGUCCAGGACACCCCAUACCUCCUAGUGGCAAUUGAUGAUUUAUAGAAGAGGAGGUGUCAUGUUCUUUAGUGAUAAGCUAUGGGAGGAUUGUUUAUUCUCCAGUAAACAAUUCCACAGCCAUGAUUAUGCAAGAUACCCUAAUUCAAUUCUGUGGUGGUGGCAUCUAAUAGGGAAAAGGGAUUUAGUGGGAGGAAAGUGGGAAGAGAAAGGACAAUUUUGUG